UGGUAAUCUCUGGCAUUAGUUGUUAUA
Molecule: non-coding RNA, 27 nt
Filed under: Mus musculus (house mouse)
Lineage: Eukaryota; Metazoa; Chordata; Mammalia; Rodentia; Muridae
Source: RNAcentral